RNAcentral lists this ribosomal RNA (253 nucleotides) under uncultured bacterium. RNAcentral's name for it is "partial 16S ribosomal RNA". It matches the Rfam family "Bacterial small subunit ribosomal RNA", at positions 524 to 776 of the family's 1533-position model. The record is from RNAcentral.
UACGGGGGGGGCAAGCGUUGUUCGGAAUUACUGGGCGUAAAGGGCUCGUAGGCGGCCAACUAAGUCAGACGUGAAAUCCCUCGGCUUAACCGGGGAACUGCGUCUGAUACUGGAUGGCUUGAGUUUGGGAGAGGGAUGCGGAAUUCCAGGUGUAGCGGUGAAAUGCGUAGAUAUCGGGAGGAACAUCAGUGGCGAAGGCGGCCUUCUGGUCCAGUACUGACACUCAAGUGCGAAAGCGUGGGGAGCAAACAGG